This 253-nucleotide ribosomal RNA is filed under the name uncultured bacterium. RNAcentral's name for it is "partial 16S ribosomal RNA". It matches the Rfam family "Bacterial small subunit ribosomal RNA", at positions 524 to 776 of the family's 1533-position model. The record is from RNAcentral.
UACAGAGGGGGCAAGCGUUAUUCGGAAUUAUUGGGCGUAAAGGGCGCGUAGGCGGCUUUGCAAGUGACGGGUGAAAUCCCACGGCUCAACCGUGGAAGUGCAUUCGAAACUGCAGGGCUAGAGUCCUGGAGAGGAAGGUGGAAUGCUUGGUGUAGAGGUGAAAUUCGUAGAUAUCAAGCGGAACACCGGUGGCGAAGGCGGCCUUCUGGACAGUGACUGACGCUGAGACGCGAAAGCGUGGGGAGCAAACAGG